Molecule: unclassified non-coding RNA, 129 nt
Filed under: Trypanosoma melophagium
Lineage: Eukaryota; Euglenozoa; Kinetoplastea; Trypanosomatida; Trypanosomatidae
Description: trans-spliced leader sequence SL
Source: RNAcentral
UUCUGUACUUCAUUGGUAUGCGAAGCUUCCAGGAGCUUCCUGUGCGGGGCGCGAGCUCCUGCCACCGGGGUCUUCUGGCAAAUUUUGGGUGGAGGGUCUUCGGGCCCUCCUUUUUUUUUACUUUUUUCU